Molecule: long non-coding RNA, 3585 nt
Filed under: Sus scrofa (pig)
Lineage: Eukaryota; Metazoa; Chordata; Mammalia; Artiodactyla; Suidae
Description: lncRNA (ENSSSCG00045025752.1, ENSSSCG00065063601.1)
Source: RNAcentral
GGGUGGUGGGGAUUCCAUUCAAGGGACACCUCGGUAGCAGCCACCUGGCCACGACAGCGUCCGCGUCCCAGACUCUGCCCGACUCCGGGCUCGUCCGAACUCGGGCAUAACCUAGAAAGCCAUCUUCGCAUUCCCAGAAUGACUUCCCCAGCUGAGGAAUUCGGCGUUCAGGGUUGCGGCUUUCUUCUGUGCUUUUAUGAGAGCCCCCGCUCAAGGCAUCUUCUACAAUUUGUUGAGUUGGAAGAGAAACAAGGCAAAUGGCAGGAAAAUCAAAUGAGAUCAUGACUUCACCAGAGCAAAACCGAGAUCCCUCGCCCCCAGUGAAAGCAAACAAAAGCUGGAAGAGAACGAGUUCGACCUGAUCUCCUCCGCCUUCUCCACCCCCAUCUCCAGGCCCAGACCCGGAGACGCCGGGGUUCAGAGGGGAGACUCAGAGUCCCAGAGCGCCCUCCACCCCGAGAAAGACCCAGAGCUGCCCUUGGGAUUCCAGGACAAGGAACCAGAGGAGUGUCCUCUAAGGAGGCUGCUGGGCGGGAUCACGAUAAGCGUCCAGGGACCGUGCCCUCCAGCUCCGCUGCUCCACCCAUGGCCAUCUGGGACUUGCUGGGACCAACAAAUUGAGGCAGACGUGGUGGCCCUCCAGCUUCGGAACCAUCGUUCACCCUGCAUCUGUCUUUGCUUUCACGUUCUUGGAAUCUCAAGACCUCAGAGGGUGAAGAGGGGGCCAGCCUCCUAGAAGAUGGACGGGAGCCAUGGCACCUGAGCCGGAGCCAGACUGCUGCUGGCCACGCGAGGGCAGCCAUCUGGACCCUCCAGCCCUCGUCGAGUGGUCAGGUGACCACGGUCACACGCAUGAGCCCAGGAGAGGCCAGCAGAACCACCCAGUGUGCCAGUAAGACACGACCAGCUGGCCCUUUCCUGGAGCCAUCAAGGCUUGGGUGGUUUGUUACACAGCAGCUAGAGCUCCAAUCAUUGUUAACACAGUGAAAGCGGAGGCUCGGCCUUGAAACCACAGCCGUAAAGAGGAUUCCAGCAUGACACAGGGAUGACAGCACUUUCUGGAGGCUUUGCCCGAACACCCCUACUGCGUCCUUAGCACAUUCAUUAGGAUUCCGGGAGCCCAACCCUGCUUUGGCUUUUCGCUUGCACGUUAAAUAUUUGACCACCAUUUCCCACCUGAAAGAAAGAGCUACCUUUAGCACUGGGGACACAGAUACAUUUGGCACAAUAAUGUCUUCUAAGAACUCUCAGGACAACAAAGGAGGUAGACAAGAACCUUAUUGUAUUCGCUCAGCAAAUAUCUGUGUCCCAGGCACUAUGCAGAGGGCUGGGAAUACAAUGAUAGGAAAGCCACAAAUCCAGACUCACAGGAUCGGAGCCUGGCCCUGAAGGGGACGCUGCUGAAAAGAAAAUGCAUUAACGGAUAAUGGCAAACAGUGCUAAAUGCUGUGAAGCAGCAGCUCAGAUGGCUCUGGAAGAGAAUUAGUCUGGUGAGAGGAGGCCAGAAAGGUUUUACUGGAGGAAGAGCAUUUCGCACAAAGACUCGAAAGAGCAGAUGAAGUGCCUGGCCAAAGCGGAGGGGAAGAAGGUUCCAGGCCCGAGGGAAUAUGGCGGUGGCCCUCACCAGGAGCAGUUAGGUUAACCUAGAACCCAACUCUAUUGUACCUUUAGACACAGAGUGGCUUUUGCCUGGUUUUACCAUACAUUGAAUUUUCCUGGAAUGCAAGGACCAUGCCAGUUGAGAGAAGGCUGAGGUGGAUUUGCUUGGGGAUUCACACUGGUCACCCUCCUGGAGGGAGAGCACUGGCAGCAACUCCACUCCACGUGCUGGCGGCACAUGAGCGGUCAACACCCCACACCUAGACCUGCCCGCACGUGGAGCGGUCCCUCUCACCUGUUUCUUCCUGUUCUGCUCAAGCACCUGCCUCCUUCAUUGGGACUUGCAGCAUUAUAAUAUAUAUGGUUUUAUUAUACAUUCCACUUAUUCUUCCUUAUUUGAGAGUUUCAGAAUGACAUGUGUAUGUUUUCAAUCCAAUGAGUAGGUAGGUUAUAUUAUUUAUGAGGUUCAUUUUGGGGUAGACAAAGCAGCCCUGGAUCUGAUGAGGUUAAAACCACAGGUUAAGACCUGCCUUUCGCUGUGGGACAGGGAGUUGGGCUGGUGUAAGAACUACCAGGAGGAAGGGGGUUGGAGCCCAGAGACCUGGGAGCAGGGUGGGACCAGAUGAGGCUGGCAGAGGACUGGGGACAUCACAACCCUCGACUCUGCCGGAGGGGAUGCGAAAAGGUACCAUCUGGUGGUACCUCCGAGGUGCAACAUGGAACAUCACCCGAAACAGCCAGUCCGUUCCUAGGCAUAGACCCAAGAGAAGUGGAAACAUGUCCUGAACACAGAUGUUCACAGCAGCACUAUUCGUAUGAGCCCAAAAGAAGAAACAACUAAAAUGCCCAUCAACUAGUGAAUGCAUGAACCAAAGAGUAGGUUCUUCAUAUAAUGGAAUAUUAUUCAGCCACAGAAAGGAAUGAACUACUGAUACAUACUGUGAUAUGGACGAACCGUGAAAACGCUCUGCUGAGUGAAAGAAGCCAGACGCAAAAGGCCACAGAGUAUGCAGUUCAGUUUACAUGAAAUGUCCAGAAGAGGCAAAUCCACAGAAGCAGAAAGAAGAUUUGGGGUUGCCAGAGGCUGGGGCUGAGGAGGUGAUGGAAAGUGACUGACAGCGGGUCUGGAGUUUCCUUGGCGGGCGAUGGAAAUAUUUUGGACUUAAAGAGUGGUGAGAAUGGUGCGACUUUGUUAAUAUUGUAAGUAAAACAACAUCAACAGUGAUAAAGACUGGAUGGUAUGCCUUAAAGGGGUGACUUUUAAUGGCAUUUGAGUUAGAUCUCAAAUAAAACCAACAGAGGACGCUGAAGAGAUAGACAGGGUCACCGCAUUGGAGGCAUCACGGCCCUAGUCGAAGAGUUUGAUUCUCAACCUCGGACUGGUGGGAGCCACUGACGGUUUUAGGCAUCACGGUGACAAUAUAGUUUUGCAGUUGAGAAAGAUCUCUGUGUAGAGUGGACUAGAGAUGGGCCGCUUCGAAGGCCACAAAAAGCCAGGUAUCUGGAGCCACACCUGGCUUCAGGCUUGAGCAGAAACAGCCCUCAGAGACGCACCCUGCAAUGCGGUUUCACCAGCCAUCCGGGCAACCCGUCGUGCAUUAAGCUUACCACCACCCUGACGCCCGCACGCAGCUCCUUCAACCGCAUUUCCUCGCCUCGUGGAGACAUCAGCCGGGUCUUAACGCCCCCUGACACGGAACCACCGUCCCGCCUCCACCAGAAAACGCCCUGAUCUGACCCCUCCCGUUUCUCACAGCCUCCCCGCGAGGCUUUAGCGCUUCUCCACGGGAGACCGAGGUUCACAGGGAUCUCACGGACUUGACCCAGAAGUCCCACAGCCACACAAGGGCUGGCUGGCUUCUCAUCUCAGGUCUAUUUGAACACAACCACUGCACAAGGUGGGUUCAGGCCAACUCGUAGCGUGAGGACUUUAUUUCACAGUCAGUAAAGUCGUUCCUUCUCUUCCUGCACCAUAAAACUCCUAAA